Molecule: ribosomal RNA, 568 nt
Filed under: Xenorhabdus nematophila
Lineage: Bacteria; Pseudomonadati; Pseudomonadota; Gammaproteobacteria; Enterobacterales; Morganellaceae
Description: bacterial SSU rRNA
Rfam family: Bacterial small subunit ribosomal RNA
Source: RNAcentral
GCCUAUGGGGGGCACCAGUGGGGAAUUUUUGGCAAUGGGCGAAAGCCUGACCAAGCAACGCCGCGUGGGUGAUGAAGUAUCUUGGUACGUAAAACCCUUUCGGCAGGGACGAAAAAAAUGACGGUACCUGCGGAAGAAGCCCCGGCUAACUCCGUGCCAGCAGCCGCGGUAAUACGGGGGGGGCAAGCGUUGUUCGGAAUUACUGGGCGUAAAGGGCGCGUAGGCGGCCUGCUAAGUCAGACGUGAAAUCCCCAGGCUCAACCUGGGAACUGCGUCUGAUACUGGAUGGCUUGAAUUCGGGAGAGGGAUGCAGAAUUCCAGGUGUAGCGGUGAAAUGCGUAGAUAUCUGGAGGAACACCGGUGGCGAAGGCGGCAUCCUGGACCGACAUUGACGCUGAGGAGCGAAAGCCAGGGGAGCAAACGGGAUUAGAUACCCCGGUAGUCCUAGCCCUAAACGAUGAAUGCUUGGUGUGGCGGGUAUCGAUCCCUGCCGUGCCGAAGCUAACGCAUUAAGCAUUCCGCCUGGGGAGUACGGUCGCAAGGCUGAAACUCAAAGGAAUUGGCGGGG